AUUGAAAGGGUGUCAGAAGUCUUGAAAAGAGGAAAUGCCAUUGCAGAAAAAUCUCUUGCAAUUCUUGAAAAUUGUCGACCCCAUUAUUAUAAAGAAUAAGAGUUAUUUAUAGAGUUGGAAUUAAUAGGGGUCCAUCUAGAUUUCGUGAUGACAGCUUAUUAUUACCUUUCAAAAAAUCCAUUAGCAACAAGGUCAUUUUUUGGUAUUCCACGAGCAAGGCAAUUGGAAUGGUUGAUGAGGGUUGUGAAUGACAAGUGAUCUAAA
This 264-nucleotide unclassified non-coding RNA is filed under the name Hevea brasiliensis (rubber tree). The record is from RNAcentral. Lineage: Eukaryota; Viridiplantae; Streptophyta; Magnoliopsida; Malpighiales; Euphorbiaceae.